UUCUAGUAACAUCAUCAGUUGGUUGUAGCCUUUCCAGGCGCAGUACAAAGGAAUACAAUUUUGCCCAUAUUUAUUGUUGAGAAAUUUUCAUAAUUUUGCUGUCAAAGCAGCAUGUACACAGGAAUACAAUUUUGCUAUCAAAGCAACAUUUCAAACGUACAUCUUCAUGACAUCAUACAUAAAAACCAGCAAUAAAAAGAUUACAAUAUGCCAUUUGGCUCAAAUCACAUAACAUAUGACAUCCAGGUUCCAGCAACGAAAAAAGAUAACCACCACAUCAUACCAUCUGCACAUUCAAAGAGAACAAACUAUAUGUCAAAAGAGAACUGAGAAGAAAAUUGCCAAUAAAAGAAAGAAGAUAAUAUACUCUAUAAUUACUACAGAUUUGCUCACUAGACACACACACACACACACACACACACACACACUCUGCAUAUACAGAUUUGCUCCCCGCAAAAACAAUUCUGAACAGUUCGCUAUAAUAAUUUACGGCAAAGAAAUUCCCAAAACAGAGAAUGGUACAUCUCGAAAUUCCCCAAAAACAGAGGAAAUGCGACAUCCAUGACAAGCUGUGCCAUUACUAGAGGAUUUGAUUAAACCAACAAGUUGGAGUGUGUUGAAUAGAUAAAAGAAACUCAAUUAAUGGGGCAAUGCAAAUUCUUUACUCACUACCACACGGCAUUCACCUGUGAUUGAACCCUGCGGGCACAUACAAAUUAUCACUUAACCCGGUUAUGGAAUGAGCUGGUGCAAGAAUGAGGUAAUUCCUACUUUACGUUGGACUAACCAAACACUGUCCUUUAGUAUGUAAAACCUUCUGUUCUUCCAAAAGAUUCAGUAGUGGGCUAAAUUCUUUACUCACUACAGUUUCAACUAUUCCAUCUGGAAAAAAUUACCAGAAAAUCUCUGCAGAUAACCAUUACCACCAAUCAGUUGUGACUCAAUUCUUCUUUCUUGACCCAAAUGCAUUCUUUCAGGC
This 979-nucleotide long non-coding RNA is filed under the name Triticum aestivum (bread wheat). RNAcentral describes it as "long non-coding RNA (TAES_LNC026148)". The record is from RNAcentral. Lineage: Eukaryota; Viridiplantae; Streptophyta; Magnoliopsida; Poales; Poaceae.